This 433-nucleotide ribosomal RNA is filed under the name uncultured bacterium. RNAcentral's name for it is "partial 16S ribosomal RNA". It matches the Rfam family "Bacterial small subunit ribosomal RNA", at positions 29 to 507 of the family's 1533-position model. The record is from RNAcentral.
AACGAACGCUGGCGGCAUGCCUAACACAUGCAAGUCGAACGAAACCUUCGGGUCUAGUGGCGCACGGGUGCGUACCGCGUGGGAACCUGCCCUUAGGUUCGGAAUAACUCCCCGAAAGGGGUGCUAAUACCGGACAAUGUCUUCGGACCAAAGAUUUAUCGCCUUUGGAUGGGCCCGCGUUGGAUUAGCUAGUUGGUAGGGUAAAAGCCUACCAAGGCGACGAUCCAUAGCUGGUCUGAGAGGAUCAUCAGCCACACUGGGACUGAGACACGGCCCAGACUCCUACGGGAGGCAGCAGUGGGGAAUAUAGGAGAAUGGGCGAAAGCCUGAUCCAGCUAUGGCGCGUGGGUGAUGAAGGCCUUAGGGUUGGAAAGCUCUUUGACCCGGGAUGAUAAUGACAGUACCGGGAGAAUAAGCGCCGGCUAACUCCGUG